GCAAUUACGGAACUUUGUGGCACCUUAACGCCACUUCCCCUUCUUCUUCUGCUCCGGCGGCCGGCGUCGCUUCCCCUGCCUCCUCCGAAUGCCCCCCACGCCUCCCCCACCUCCUCCUCCGCCCCGGCCCCUCUCUUCGAGCGCAGGUGCCCCGCCGCCUUCGAUGCUGUCGUCGGCCCCGCCUUACCCGUGUGAUGUAAGGUAACGUCUGUUCGACGGUCCAAACCUCCCUUCACGCAGUCCGUGCUCUUCUUCCCUGACUUCCACCGCCUCUCCAAUCCCUUUCCACCCUCAUAACCUCCGCGCAAUCAAUUCCGCCGACGAGCGCUCGCCUCCCAGAUCUCCUCGUCCAGCGCAAGGACUGGAUCCCUCUCCACCGAUCUAAACCCUGCCUCCUCUCCCCCGAUCUCUUCCUCCAAGUCCUCUCCUUAACCCAGCCCUACCCCGAGAUCUCCCUCCACUUCUUUAAUUCGGCCAAUUCCAAGCUAGGGCUGCUCCCUGACCUCCGCUCCCUCUCCAGGAUGGUCCAAAUCGUCGUCGAGUCCGACUUCCUCGACCCCGCGAAGCACAUUUUCUAUUCGGUCAUUCGAUCCGAGCCGGCGCCGGCGGUGAUCGGUUCGAUUCUCCGCGCCUCCACCUGUUCUAAGUUUCGUUCUUGAAUCUUAUGCUUGUCUGCAUCAAUUGCCAGUUGCUUGGAGACUUUUAGAAACAAUUAGGGUUUUGGAGUGUCAGCUGUCGGCCACCAGCUGCAAUGCGCUGCUUGAUGCAUUGUGCUCGGACGAUAGGACCGGGACGGCAGGGUGUUUCGACGCUGCCGUCGUCAGGACUGGGAGUUUGCCGGAUUCCAAUCCGUGGACGCGACUUCUUAUACUGCACCUCUUGGGGCACUUUUCAAGAAAAGGAGGGUUGAAGAAGGCCAUGAAUCUGUUGAGAUGCUGAGGUUGGGGCUUAAACUUGAUGAUGGCCACUUUCUGGAUUUGUGCAAUAAAAAGUUUCAUUAUUUAAGUUCCAUUCAUGAAUCAAGUAUGAGUGGCAUGUUGCAGGGACAUCAUUUUUGGAUUUUCAACAUUUGCUGGUUUCUUAUUCUGGGUAUUUGUAUUUAGGUUGGAUUAAAGUGCAGGUGGGAGAAACUUUUCUGCAAUCCACAGACUUCGAAUCAUGUUCACUGAUUAGAACUGACGUGUGCAUUACCUCUUCUGCCAACCAUCAUAUCCAACUCAGCACUUUGAAAGGGACCAGGCAAAUGUCUGAACUUGAACUCCUGGCUGGCAUUAAGGUUGUAGCCAUUUAUUUCAAGAACUAGAGGAAUCUGUGCUUUGGAAUGAAAAUUAUUAAGUUCUAUCUAGCUACAAAAUGAAUUCGAUGACAUAUAGCAAGGUCAUGAAGGUUUGCUUUCUUUCA
Non-coding RNA from Phoenix dactylifera (date palm), 1401 nucleotides. Lineage: Eukaryota; Viridiplantae; Streptophyta; Magnoliopsida; Arecales; Arecaceae. The record is from RefSeq and is a predicted model, not a curated record.